GGGUUGUAAAGCACUUUCAGUGGGGAGGAAAGGUCGAAGGUUAAUACCCUUUGGCUGUGACGUUACCCACAGAAGAAGCACCGGCUAACUCCGUGCCAGCAGCCGCGGUAAUACGGAGGGUGCGAGCGUUAAUCGGAAUUACUGGGCGUAAAGCGUGCGUAGGCGGCCAUUUAAGUUGGAUGUGAAAGCCCCGGGCUCAACCUGGGAACUGCAUCCAAAACUGGGUGGCUUGAGUGCGAGAGAGGAGUGUGGAAUUUCCUGUGUAGCGGUGAAAUGCGUAGAUAUAGGAAGGAACACCAGUGGCGAAGGCGACACUCUGGCUUGACACUGACGCUGAGGUACGAAAGCGUGGGGAGCAAACAGGAUUAGAUACCCUGGUAGUCCACGCCGUAAACGAUGUCUACUAGUUGUCGGUGGUCUUGUACUGCUGGUAACGCAGCUAACGCGAUAAGUAGACCGCCUGGGGA
RNAcentral lists this ribosomal RNA (467 nucleotides) under uncultured bacterium. RNAcentral describes it as "bacterial SSU rRNA". It matches the Rfam family "Bacterial small subunit ribosomal RNA", at positions 420 to 879 of the family's 1533-position model. The record is from RNAcentral.